Long non-coding RNA from Bubalus bubalis (water buffalo), 698 nucleotides. RefSeq lists it as uncharacterized. The record is from RefSeq and is a predicted model, not a curated record. The transcript has 2 exons. NCBI's taxonomy places the organism in Eukaryota, Metazoa, Chordata, Mammalia, Artiodactyla, Bovidae.
UGAUAUCUUGAUCUCAACCUUAUUUUUUAAUUUAAAUUUAGCCUUUUCUAAGCUAGUUCUUUCUCAUUAGGAAUGCAGGUCUAAAUUGUCUAUAAUAUUUUAUAAAAAUUCAGAUCUUUGGGUUCUUAUCCAGACUUACUGAAUCACUUUUGAUAUUUUCUUGGUGUAUUCUCUCUCUUUUUUUUUUGUUAUGUUCUUGAUAAUUUAUAUUUUUAAUGCUUCAGGAUUAUUUUACAUUAUAUGUCAACAAUUUUCCUCUCCAUUGAAAUAUUCAUUGACUUUGAAAAUACAUUUAAUCAUUGCCCUUAAUGAUAUCUUGUCAAAUUUUGAGGAAGUCACUAUUUUACCUUAUUUUGCAUGCUACAGAAACACCCAUUUCCUUGUCAUUUGCAUUAUUUUUGUUGUGAAGAUUUUUCAUAGUGUCCACAAAAAAAUUAUCAGUGAUUAAUUAGCAAUGACUGUUUAACAUCUGCCAUUUACACAUGGAUUUUAUCUUACUCUGAUGCUGACCAAAGGCCCUGCAAUCAACUACAGACCAGAGUUUCUUUCUUCAUCAAAGAAAGACCAUGUCAAAGCCCUGUGAAAAGAGAGAGGAGGAAGACCCAGAAAGACCAACACAAUAUUGAAGGAGGAUAACAAAGUUGGAGGACAGAAACUGCUUGACUUCAAGACUUACAAUAAAGCUGAAGUAAUAAAAA